GGGGCUGUAGCUCAGUCGGGAGAGCGCCUGCCUUGCAAGCAGGAGGUCAGCGGUUCGAUUCCGCUCAGCUCCACCA
Molecule: transfer RNA, 76 nt
Filed under: Calditerricola satsumensis
Lineage: Bacteria; Bacillati; Bacillota; Bacilli; Caryophanales; Bacillaceae
Also listed under: 1 other name
Description: tRNA-Ala
Rfam family: tRNA
About the family: Transfer RNA (tRNA) molecules are approximately 80 nucleotides in length. Their secondary structure includes four short double-helical elements and three loops (D, anti-codon, and T loops).
Source: RNAcentral